AUGAACGUUGGCGGCGUGGAUUAGGCAUGCAAGUCGAGCGAGAACCCCGCAAGGGGGGACAGCGGCAAACGGGGUAGUAACGGGUAGGUGACGUACCCUCGGGUUGGGGAUAGCCACGGGAAACUGUGGGUAAUACCCAAUAAUCUCCUGAUACGUGAUGGUAUUGGGAGCAAAGGUGUGAUUCCACCGGAGGAGCGGCCUGCUUCGUAUUAGCUAGUUGGUGAGGUAACGGCUCACCAAGGCAACGAUGCGUAGGGGGUGUGAGAGCAUGACCCCCACCACUGGGACUGAGAUACUGCCCAGACACCUACGGGUGGCUGCAGUCGAGAAUCUUCGGCAAUGGGCGCAAGCCUGACCGAGCGACGCCGCGUGUGGGAUGAAGGCCCUUGGGUUGUAAACCACUGUCAGAGGGGAUGAAGUGCAGGAGAGUUAUCUCUCCUGUUUGACAUAGCCUCAGAGGAAGCACGGGCUAAGUUCGU
This 479-nucleotide ribosomal RNA is filed under the name uncultured bacterium. RNAcentral describes it as "bacterial SSU rRNA". It matches the Rfam family "Bacterial small subunit ribosomal RNA", at positions 29 to 506 of the family's 1533-position model. The record is from RNAcentral.